Molecule: ribosomal RNA, 454 nt
Filed under: uncultured bacterium
Lineage: Bacteria
Description: partial 16S ribosomal RNA
Rfam family: Bacterial small subunit ribosomal RNA
Source: RNAcentral
GAUGAACGCUGACAGAAUGCUUAACACAUGCAAGUCAACUUGAACUUCGGUUUGGGUGGCGGACGGGUGAGUAACGCGUAAAGAACUUGCCUCACAGAUAGGGACAACAUUUGGAAACGAAUGCUAAUACCUGAUAUUAUGAUUAUAUGGCAUCGUAUAAUUAUGAAAGCUAUAUGCGCUGUGAGAGAGCUUUGCGUCCCAUUAGCUAGUUGGAGAGGUAACGGCUCACCAAGGCGAUGAUGGGUAGCCGGCCUGAGAGGGUGAUCGGCCGCAAGGGGACUGAGACACGGCCCUUACUCCUACGGGCGGCAACAGUGGGGAAUAUUGGACAAUGGACCAAGAGUCUGAUCCAGCAAUUCUGUGUGCACGAUGAAGUUUUUCGGAAUGUAAAGUGCUUUCAGUUGGGAAGAAAAAAAUGACGGUACCAACAGAAGAAGUGACGGCUAAAUACGUG